RNAcentral lists this long non-coding RNA (378 nucleotides) under Brassica napus (rape). Its description in RNAcentral is "long non-coding RNA (BNAP_LNC005483)". The record is from RNAcentral. Lineage: Eukaryota; Viridiplantae; Streptophyta; Magnoliopsida; Brassicales; Brassicaceae.
UUACACAAUUUUUAAUAAAGUUAAAGUUAUAUAGAUUUGUGUAAAUAUCAUACAUUAUGAAACAACAAAAUUUAUCUUAUUAAAACGUUGGGAGUAAUUCGGUUGGAUAGAAAAAUGAAGGACAUGUGUAUACUCAAGAGAAUAUUGUUGUUGGUUUACUUUGGAUAUACAAUAAACAAUUUGCAUUUGUCAUUAGUGUAGCCGAAACCAAUCAUCUACUCUACCAAUUAAAAUCUUCUUUAAUACGAGUAUAGUGGAGAGAAAAAAUAAAAUAUUGUAGAAGAAUUAAUUGGAAGGGAAGCGGAACGGACCCUGUUGGCACGUGAGAUGUAGAAGUGGAAGGAACCAAAAAGCCGUCAACGUAAAUCCCUCUGCCUA